This 492-nucleotide ribosomal RNA is filed under the name uncultured bacterium. Its description in RNAcentral is "partial 16S ribosomal RNA". It matches the Rfam family "Bacterial small subunit ribosomal RNA", at positions 29 to 507 of the family's 1533-position model. The record is from RNAcentral.
AGUGAACGCUGGCGGUAGGCCUAACACAUGCAAGUCGAACGGCAGCACAGUAAGAGCUUGCUCUUACGGGUGGCGAGUGGCGGACGGGUGAGGAAUACAUCGGAAUCUACUUUUUCGUGGGGGAUAACGUAGGGAAACUUACUCUAAUACCGCAUACGACCUACGGGUGAAAGCAGGGGAUCUUCGGACCUUGCGCGAUUGAAUGAGCCGAUGUCGGAUUAGCUAGUUGGCGGGGUAAAGGCCCACCAAGGCGACGAUCCGUAGCUGGUAUGAGAGGAUGAUCAGCCACACUGGAACUGAGACACGGUCCAGAAGCCUACGGGAGGCAGCAGUGGGGAAUAUUGGACAAUGGGCGCAAGCAUGAUCCAGCCAUACCGCGUGGGUGAAGAAGGCCUUCGGGUUGUAAAGCCCUUUUGUUGGGAAGGAAAAGCAGCAGGUUAAUACCCCGCUGUUCUGACGGUACCCAAAGAAUAAGCACCGGCUAACUUCGUG